This 247-nucleotide long non-coding RNA is filed under the name Selaginella moellendorffii. Its description in RNAcentral is "long non-coding RNA (SMOE_LNC002096)". Lineage: Eukaryota; Viridiplantae; Streptophyta; Lycopodiopsida; Selaginellales; Selaginellaceae. The record is from RNAcentral.
UCACCUUCCGACAGUCUUGAACGUCCGAUUCUAGCUGCACCUUAUUAGUUUCCAUCAGGUCAAGCUGUUUCUGAAUCUUUCCGAGUUUCUCUAUGUGCCUCAACAUUUCCUUCUUUGCUAUUUGAAACUCAUCCGUGGCUUCUUGUAGCUUCGUCCGCUUUGGUGCAACAACCUGUAUGAAAGAGAAGCAAUGAGAAAAGAAGCUUGCAAAUGUGAUCCUUGACGAAACUUGGCCACUUUAUCGUAG